GGAGGGAUGGCUGAGUGGUUGAAAGCGGCGGUCUUGAAAACCGCUGUAGGCGUGAGCCUACCGGGGGUUCGAAUCCCUCUCCCUCCGCCA
This 90-nucleotide transfer RNA is filed under the name Deinococcota bacterium. Its description in RNAcentral is "Deinococcus-Thermus bacterium tRNA-Ser". It matches the Rfam family "tRNA". From Rfam's summary of the family: Transfer RNA (tRNA) molecules are approximately 80 nucleotides in length. The record is from RNAcentral. RNAcentral also lists the same sequence under 1 other name. Lineage: Bacteria; Thermotogati; Deinococcota.